Molecule: ribosomal RNA, 273 nt
Filed under: uncultured prokaryote
Description: partial 16S ribosomal RNA
Rfam family: Bacterial small subunit ribosomal RNA
Source: RNAcentral
UACGAAGGGGGCUAGCGUUGCUCGGAAUCACUGGGCGUAAAGGGUGCGUAGGCGGGUCUUUAAGUCAGGGGUGAAAUCCUGGAGCUCAACUCCAGAACUGCCUUUGAUACUGAGGAUCUUGAGUUCGGGAGAGGUGAGUGGAACUGCGAGUGUAGAGGUGAAAUUCGUAGAUAUUCGCAAGAACACCAGUGGCGAAGGCGGCUCACUGGCCCGAUACUGACGCUGAGGCACGAAAGCGUGGGGAGCAAACAGGAUUAGAAACCCUAGUAGUCC